CAGCCGCCGCGGGAAAACGAAGGGUGCAAGCGUUACUCGGAAUUACUGGGCGUAAAGCGUGCGUAGGUGGUGGUUUAAGUCCGUUGUGAAAGCCCUGGGCUCAACCUGGGAAUUGCAGUGGAUACUGGGUCACUAGAGUGUGGUAGAGGAUAGUGGAAUUUCCGGUGUAGCAGUGAAAUGCGUAGAGAUCGGAAGGAACAUCUGUGGCGAAGGCGACUAUCUGGGCCAACACUGACACUGAGGCACGAAAGCGUGGGGAGCAAACAGGAUUAGAGACCCUCGUAGUCCCUGUCUCUUAUAC
Molecule: ribosomal RNA, 301 nt
Filed under: uncultured bacterium
Lineage: Bacteria
Description: partial 16S ribosomal RNA
Rfam family: Bacterial small subunit ribosomal RNA
Source: RNAcentral